Molecule: long non-coding RNA, 386 nt
Organism: Lingula anatina
Lineage: Eukaryota; Metazoa; Brachiopoda; Lingulata; Lingulida; Lingulidae
Source: RefSeq, a predicted model, not a curated record
ACCCAUGCAGAUGUACAUUGUCCAAAACGAACUCCAAAAGGACCAUAUGGUUUAAGUGACAGUUCACAAACUUUCAUUGACUGUGUCACACUGUCAUCAACUAAUGGAGACAAGGUAUCGGGGCCGUUACUGCCGGCACUCACACCCAGCCUGUUCUCCAAUGUCCCACCCUACAUCAACUUUAUAAUGCCUGGACAACAGAAAGAACCAUUUCCGGAGAAUAUAGGUCGUCGUCUACUUUGGUAUGACGGGGGUUCCCCUCUCGUCUCUGCAACAGCCAUCAGAUCCGGCUACUCCCUGACUAAAAAUUUCUCUCUGGCAGUUGGAUAUUACGUAGGAUGUUUACAACCCAGUGAAACCUACAAGUUCCAGAAUUUGAGACCCAG